GGGCCCAUAGCUCAACGGUAGAGCAACCGGUUCAUACCCGGUCGGUUCCUGGUUCGAGUCCAGGUGGGCCCACCA
This 75-nucleotide transfer RNA is filed under the name Candidatus Rokubacteria bacterium 13_1_20CM_2_70_7. RNAcentral's name for it is "tRNA-Met". It matches the Rfam family "tRNA". Rfam says of the family: Transfer RNA (tRNA) molecules are approximately 80 nucleotides in length. Their secondary structure includes four short double-helical elements and three loops (D, anti-codon, and T loops). Lineage: Bacteria; Candidatus Rokuibacteriota. RNAcentral also lists the same sequence under 2 other names. The record is from RNAcentral.